RNAcentral lists this ribosomal RNA (730 nucleotides) under uncultured bacterium. RNAcentral describes it as "bacterial SSU rRNA". It matches the Rfam family "Bacterial small subunit ribosomal RNA", at positions 771 to 1501 of the family's 1533-position model. The record is from RNAcentral.
AACAGGAUUAGAUACCCUGGUAGUCCACGCCGUAAACGAUGUCGACUUGGAGGUUGUGCCCUUGAGGCGUGGCUUCCGGAGCUAACGCGUUAAGUCGACCGCCUGGGGAGUACGGCCGCAAGGUUAAAACUCAAAUGAAUUGACGGGGGCCCGCACAAGCGGUGGAGCAUGUGGUUUAAUUCGAUGCAACGCGAAGAACCUUACCUACUCUUGACAUCCAGAGAACUUUCCAGAGAUGGAUUGGUGCCUUCGGGAACUCUGAGACAGGUGCUGCAUGGCUGUCGUCAGCUCGUGUUGUGAAAUGUUGGGUUAAGUCCCGCAACGAGCGCAACCCUUAUCCUUUGUUGCCAGCGGUUCGGCCGGGAACUCAAAGGAGACUGCCAGUGAUAAACUGGAGGAAGGUGGGGAUGACGUCAAGUCAUCAUGGCCCUUACGAGUAGGGCUACACACGUGCUACAAUGGCGCAUACAAAGAGAAGCGACCUCGCGAGAGCAAGCGGACCUCAUAAAGUGCGUCGUAGUCCGGAUUGGGGUCUGCAACUCGACUCCAUGAAGUCGGAAUCGCUAGUAAUCGUAGAUCAGAAUGCUACGGUGAAUACGUUCCCGGGCCUUGUACACACCGCCCGUCACACCAUGGGAGUGGGUUGCAAAAGAAGUAGGUAGCUUAACCUUCGGGAGGGCACUUACCACUUUGUGAUUCAUGACUGGGGUGAAGUCGUAACAAGGUAACC